GAGAAAUACUCGCCUAGUGAGCCCUAACUAGAGUUAAAAAAGUCCUACCUCCAUCUCCGUGGGCCCCAGCACCAGCCGACGGCCCGCAGCCUCCCAAAGACUCUGCCACGCCACUCUCCCCGCAGCCGCCCAGCGAAGAACCAGCCACAUCCCCCUGGCCUGCUGAGCAGUCCCCAAAAUCACGCACGUCCGAGGAGAUGGGGGCUGGAGCCCCCAUGCGGGAGCCUGGGAGCCCAGCUGAAUCCGAGGGCCGGGACCAGGCCCAGCCGUCCCCGCUGCUCCCCUGGCUAAGGCCCUGCCCUGCCCUCAGCCAGAGGUGCCUGGCCAUGCCUGCACACUCCUCCCCAUUUUAAUAAAUGGUCGCAACUUCUAGAA
This 375-nucleotide long non-coding RNA is filed under the name Homo sapiens (human). RNAcentral's name for it is "HSALNT0254427". Lineage: Eukaryota; Metazoa; Chordata; Mammalia; Primates; Hominidae. The record is from RNAcentral.